GCAUCGAUGGUUCAGUGGUAGAAUGCUCGCUUACCACGUGGGCCGCCCGGGUUCGAUUCCCGGUCGAUGCA
Non-coding RNA from Daphnia pulex (common water flea), 71 nucleotides. NCBI's taxonomy places the organism in Eukaryota, Metazoa, Arthropoda, Branchiopoda, Diplostraca, Daphniidae. The record is from Rfam.